This 483-nucleotide ribosomal RNA is filed under the name uncultured bacterium. RNAcentral's name for it is "partial 16S ribosomal RNA". It matches the Rfam family "Bacterial small subunit ribosomal RNA", at positions 29 to 523 of the family's 1533-position model. The record is from RNAcentral.
AGUGAACGCUGGCGGCGUGCUUAACACAUGCAAGUCGAACGAGAACGGAUUAUAGCUUGCUAUAAUUGUCAGCUAAGUGGCGCACGGGUGAGUAAUGUAUAGGUAAUAUGCCUCUUACUAAGGGAUAACAAAUGGAAACGUUUGCUAAUACCUUAUACUCCUUAUUAACAGAAGUUAAUAAGGGAAAGAUUUAUUGGUAAGAGAUUAGCCUGUAUUGUAUCAGUUAGUUGGUGGGGUAAUGGCUUACCAAGACUAUGACACAUAACUGGUUUGAGAGGAUGAUCAGUCACACUGGAACUGAGACACGGUCCAGACUCCUACGGGAGGCAGCAGUGGGGAAUAUUGCACAAUGGACGAAAGUCUGAUGCAGCGACGCCGCGUGGAGGAUGACACAUUUCGGUGCGUAAACUCCUUUUAUAUGAGAAGAUAAUGACGGUAUUAUAUGAAUAAGCCCGGCUAACUCCGUGCCAGCCGCCGCGGUAA